RNAcentral lists this transfer RNA (72 nucleotides) under Acidobacteriota bacterium. RNAcentral describes it as "tRNA-Pro". It matches the Rfam family "tRNA". Rfam says of the family: Transfer RNA (tRNA) molecules are approximately 80 nucleotides in length. Their secondary structure includes four short double-helical elements and three loops (D, anti-codon, and T loops). Lineage: Bacteria; Pseudomonadati; Acidobacteriota. The record is from RNAcentral. RNAcentral also lists the same sequence under 3 other names.
CGGGGAGUGGCGCAGCGGUAGCGCACCUGCUUUGGGAGCAGGAGGUCGGGGGUUCGAAUCCCCCCUCCCCGA